CGACCCCAGGUCAGGCGGGGACACCCGCUGAGUUUAAGCAUAUCA
Molecule: ribosomal RNA, 45 nt
Filed under: Pseudotrimezia diamantinensis
Lineage: Eukaryota; Viridiplantae; Streptophyta; Magnoliopsida; Asparagales; Iridaceae
Description: partial 28S ribosomal RNA
Source: RNAcentral